GACGAACCGUACGAACGUUAUUCGGAAUCACUGGGCGUAAAGGGUGCGUAGGCGGGUGUUUAAGUCAGGGGUGAAAUCCUGGAGCUCAACUCCAGAACUGCCUUUGAUACUGAGGAUCUUGAGUUCGGGAGAGGUGAGUGGAACUGCGAGUGUAGAGGUGAAAUUCGUAGAUAUUCGCAAGAACACCAGUGGCGAAGGCGGCUCACUGGCCCGAUACUGACGCUGAGGCACGAAAGCGUGGGGAGCAAACAGG
This 253-nucleotide ribosomal RNA is filed under the name uncultured bacterium. Its description in RNAcentral is "partial 16S ribosomal RNA". It matches the Rfam family "Bacterial small subunit ribosomal RNA", at positions 524 to 776 of the family's 1533-position model. The record is from RNAcentral.